CAUUAAGUGACUGAAAUUUUAAGUAUUGGUCUCUUAAACCAAAAAAUAGUAUAUAAUAGAUACUCUUAAUG
Molecule: transfer RNA, 71 nt
Filed under: Urochela rubra
Lineage: Eukaryota; Metazoa; Arthropoda; Insecta; Hemiptera; Urostylididae
Description: tRNA-Lys
Source: RNAcentral